ACGCUGCCUUGAUGCCCGACGCCGCGUGAGGGAUGAAAGGCCUUCGGGUUGUAAACCUCUUUCAGCAGGGAAGAAGCGCAAGUGACGGUACCUGCAGAAGAAGCGCCGGCUAACUACGUGCCAGCAGCCGCGGUAAUACGUAGGGCGCAAGCGUUGUCCGGAAUUAUUGGGCGUAAAGAGCUCGUAGGCGGUUUGUCGCGUCUGCUGUGAAAACUCGAGGCUCAACCUCGGGCUUGCAGUGGGUACGGGCAGACUAGAGUGCGGUAGGGGAGACUGGAAUUCCUGGUGUAGCGGUGGAAUGCGCAGAUAUCAGGAGGAACACCGAUGGCGAAGGCAGGUCUCUGGGCCGCAACUGACGCUGAGGAGCGAAAGCAUGGGGAGCGAACAGGAUUAGAUACCCUGGUAGUCCAUGCCGUAAACGUUGGGCACUAGGUGUGGGGCUCAUUCCACGAGUUCCGUGCCGCAGCAAACGCAUUAAGUGCCCCGCCUGGGGAGUACGGCCGCAAGGCUAAAACUCAAAGAAAUUGACGGGGGCCCGCACAAGCGGCGGAGCAUGCGGAUUAAUUCGAUGCAACGCGAAGAACCUUACCAAGGCUUGACAUACACCGGAAACUUCCAGAGAUGGUUGCCCCGCAAGGUCGGUGUACAGGUGGGUGCAUGGGUUGUCGUCAGCUCGUGUCGUGAGAUGUUGGGUUAAGUCCCGCAACGAGCGCAACCCCUCGUCCUAUGUUGCCAGCGGGGUCAUGCCGGGGGACUCAUAUGGAGACUGCCGGGGGCAACUCGGAGGAAGGUGGGGGAUGACGUCAAAUCAUCAUGCCCCUUUAUGUCUUUGGGGUUUCACGCAUGCUACAAUGGCCGGGAACAAAGGGCU
RNAcentral lists this ribosomal RNA (871 nucleotides) under Cellulomonas pakistanensis. RNAcentral's name for it is "bacterial SSU rRNA". It matches the Rfam family "Bacterial small subunit ribosomal RNA", at positions 374 to 1248 of the family's 1533-position model. Lineage: Bacteria; Bacillati; Actinomycetota; Actinomycetes; Micrococcales; Cellulomonadaceae. The record is from RNAcentral.